Molecule: ribosomal RNA, 737 nt
Filed under: uncultured Staphylococcus sp.
Lineage: Bacteria; Bacillati; Bacillota; Bacilli; Caryophanales; Staphylococcaceae
Description: bacterial SSU rRNA
Rfam family: Bacterial small subunit ribosomal RNA
Source: RNAcentral
GUCGAGCGAACGGACGAGAAGCUUGCUUCUCUGAUGUUAGCGGCGGACGGGUGAGUAACACGUGGAUAACCUACCUAUAAGACUGGGAUAACUUCGGGAAACCGGAGCUAAUACCGGAUAAUAUUUUGAACCGCAUGGUUCAAAAGUGAAAGACGGUCUUGCUGUCACUUAUAGAUGGAUCCGCGCUGCAUUAGCUAGUUGGUAAGGUAACGGCUUACCAAGGCAACGAUGCAUAGCCGACCUGAGAGGGUGAUCGGCCACACUGGAACUGAGACACGGUCCAGACUCCUACGGGAGGCAGCAGUAGGGAACCUUCCGCAAUGGGCGAAAGCCUGACGGAGCAACGCCGCGUGAGUGAUGAAGGUCUUCGGAUCGUAAAACUCUGUUAUUAGGGAAGAACAUAUGUGUAAGUAACUGUGCACAUCUUGACGGUACCUAAUCAGAAAGCCACGGCUAACUACGUGCCAGCAGCCGCGGUAAUACGUAGGUGGCAAGCGUUAUCCGGAAUUAUUGGGCGUAAAGCGCGCGUAGGCGGUUUUUUAAGUCUGGUGUGAAAGCCCACGGCUCAACCGUGGAGGGUCAUUGGAAACUGGAAAACUUGAGUGCAGAAGAGGAAAGUGGAAUUCCAUGUGUAGCGGUGAAAUGCGCAGAGAUAUGGAGGAACACCAGUGGCGAAGGCGACUUUCUGGUCUGUAACUGACGCUGAUGUGCGAAAGCGUGGGGAUCAAACAGGAUUA